RNAcentral lists this long non-coding RNA (437 nucleotides) under Salmo salar (Atlantic salmon). Its description in RNAcentral is "lncRNA (ENSSSAG00000093493.1)". The record is from RNAcentral. Lineage: Eukaryota; Metazoa; Chordata; Actinopteri; Salmoniformes; Salmonidae.
GUUCUGCCUGGUUAAGGAUUUGCUUUGGAUACUUUUUGAGUUGCACCCCUCUGUCCUGUUGGUUUCAACGAUUUUAACGAUUUUCAGUUUUGAGUGCAGAAGAGUUCUGUCGAAUUAGAGAAGAGGUCGGAGUUCAUACCUAGCCAGCUGCUGCCGCCGAGAGUCAAGAAGUACCUGGCUAUGGACCCUGACACCAACGAUGUCAUUGGAUACAUAGUUCCUGUCUUCAGGACCAGCCAUGAGUUUGCCCGGGGCCUAGUGGAGGUCCAGGAAGAAGUGAAGGAGGAGGGGGUGGGGCAUGUUGCCAUGAGGAACCUGUUCUCCCUGGAGACCAGCUCCCUGGAGACCAGCUCCAUGGAGACGAUUACCGUGGAGAAGAAGAGCAGGAAGAGGCACAUUAGAGAGUCAGCUGAUCGCCUGGAGCUCAGCAAGAAGGU